CCUGAGAAACCCAAAAGAUCGAAUGGGGAGAUUCAUCGUCAGCUCAUUUUGUAUAUGUAGNUAGUUAUGAUGCGAGUUACUNCUUGUAGUAUUGCUUGCACGUACUUUUACAUUUAUCUGCAAGAUGUUGUCGGCGUGCACUUCUCCCCUAGUAGAACGUCGCGACCCGUUGAGUGUCUGUCUACGACUCGAGUGGUAGACUUUGAUAUUUUUAUAAUAUUAAAGACCCUUGGUGUUUUCUGACAGACUGCUCGGCGGUAUUCGUACGGUAUUUAGCCGCAUUCNUCAUGCGUUCAUGUCCAUCGCAAGCGAGGCCAAUUUCUGAUAGUUACGGACCUAGUGCCGUCGUUGGAAUUGGCCAGCUGUUGGNUUGUAUGGUAUUNCUAGAACUGGCUAAAAANUUAAUUAUCGGUCGGCGAUGCUACUGCUUUGGGUACUUUCAGGACCCGUCUUGAAACACGGACCAAGGAGUCUAACAUGUGCGCGAGUCAUUGGGAUUUUUUUUNAAAUUAAACCUAAAGGCGUAAUGAAAGUAAAGGUCGACCUUGCGUCGACCGAGGGAGGAUAAGUUGUGUUAANGAUACAGCUUCGCACUCCCGGGGCGUCUCAUUCUCAUUGCGAGAAGAGGCGCACCUAG
This 637-nucleotide ribosomal RNA is filed under the name Heterospilus sp. MAS-2010. Its description in RNAcentral is "eukaryotic LSU rRNA". It matches the Rfam family "Eukaryotic large subunit ribosomal RNA", at positions 386 to 798 of the family's 3401-position model. Lineage: Eukaryota; Metazoa; Arthropoda; Insecta; Hymenoptera; Braconidae. The record is from RNAcentral.